UUUUUUUUUUUAAAUAUUUAUUUAUUUAUUUAUUUUUAGUUUUCGGCGGACACAACAUCUUUGUAUGUGGUGCUGAGGAUCGAACCCGCGCCACACGCACGCCAGGCGAGCGUGCUACCGCUUGAGCCACAUCCCCAGCCCACGAGGUACCCUCUUAAUCGCUCUCUCCUUGAUCAGUGAUCUCCGCGGGGAACCGAACCCGCACUCCCUUUACUUCCCGGACCCGGACCGUGCAAAGGCACUACCCAAACCAGGGUAAGGGUCCUCGCUGCUGCCCACGGAAGACCACGUCUAACCAUCCCAACUUCUGAGAACUGUCUACCCAAGUACUUCUCAGGUCCGUCCGGGUCCUCCAGCCUUUCCUAGGCUGGCCCUACAUAACCCUGACUGCUUCGACAGGCUCCUCCAUUGUUUAUUGCAGGGAUGCUUCUUUCUCCCAUCUACCCAUCCCUCCUUCCCUUCCACUGAGGUUGAAUGAAAUCUUUAUGAAUCUGAUCAUGUCAGUCCUUUGAUUUGUGGUUUAAAAAUCUGGGGCUCUAUAGUCAAUUUCCUGAGUUACAACUCACUCUCAUUUUAUAUGUGAAUUUGGGCAAGUCUCUCCUAAGCAUUAUUUUCUCACUUUUAAAAUGAAAAUAAUAGACUUAAUUGAGAUAGUCUGUAGCUUUUAUAGCCCAGCAUCUAGCUCUUUACUGUGCAUUAGAAGUGUUAGCUAUUAUUUCUACUAUAACUUUUCCAUCCGGUUCACAUGAUAAUACCCUGAACAGUGUAAUUGUUUCAAGACAGUAAGUAGGCUUUUGUUCAAGCCAGGGGAGCCCAUGACCCCUAGUUGGCCUAGAAAAAAAAAGUCUUUAAAAGUCUCAACUGGGGGAAAAAAAAAAAAAGACUCAGCUGAAACUUUAUUUCCUCUAAAGCUGUUUCUGACCUUGCUUAUAUCCACCCAGACUUAGUCUCAAAUUGUUAUUGACCUUCACUCACCUGGAAUUGAUCAUUACCUACUUUGUACCUAAACAAUGCUUUUGAGGUAUUUUACUUGUUUACAUGUCAGCUUCUACCUGCUAGACUGACUUUCUGGAGGGUAGGAUAUAGGUCACAUCCAAUUCUAUGUCCCCAAGUCACAACAUGGUAUCUGAUAUAAAAUAGGAGCUCAUACUGUUCUCCAGGAGGGAACAUGUUCUCAGCACCCUGCUCUGCCUUAGAAGGCAUCUUGCACAUGGCCUGGCAAGAGUUGCAAGUAAAGGAACACCUCACUUAGGUAAAAGAGAACAGGGAAAGGCCAUAAUCAAAGACAGACUUGUAGUUUACUUGUACUUUACAUUAAAGAAAAAAACAGGAGUUCAGCUAGCAUUUAAAGAAUAGUAAUAAAUAAAAUUAUGUACUUGAUUCUGUCCCCAGUGAAGGAUAUGGAGAAUAAGUCCAAGGACAUUUCCCCUAUCUGCAGCUAUUCCCCCCACCCACCUGCUCUGGGGUAAAAUUGAAGCAUUUGUCAUUUAAAAGUCCAGGCUUCAGUCAGAGGGAAGGAACACAAAAUGAACUCUCACCUGACUGGCACCUAUUCUCCCACCCUUAGGGAUCAGGCCACCCCAAUACAAUGAACCCCAGGAACUACCCUCCAGGCCCACCCUAAAUGAAUCCUAUAUAACCUAGACCCUUGCUUUAGAGGGCAGUCACACCCCCACCCUCCACACCCCCACACCCCUGUAUCAGGUGAUAAAGAAGAGCUUGCUGAUCUGAGUUCUGCUUCCUAUCUCCCACUUCCACCAUUUGUGCUUAUACCCAGGUCCCUUAAGUAGUAUAAGAAAUGGAGAAGUGCUGUGUCAUGCAGACAAAGUGCUGGGUAUCAGGAGUGGGAGAGGCAGCCUGGCCGGUUGAAAUAAUAA
This 1877-nucleotide long non-coding RNA is filed under the name Marmota monax (woodchuck). Lineage: Eukaryota; Metazoa; Chordata; Mammalia; Rodentia; Sciuridae. The record is from RNAcentral.